CAAGUCGUGGGGCAGCAUGUCCCGCAGCAAUGCGGGAUGAUGGCGACCGGCAAACGGGUGCGGAACACGUACACAACCUUCCUUUAAGUGGGGGAUAGCCCAGGGAAACUUGGAUUAAUACCCCGUAAUAUAUAGAAGCGGCAUCGCUUUUAUAUUAUAGCAGCAAUGCGCUUGAAGAUGGGUGUGCGGCUGAUUAGAUAGUUGGCGGGGUAACGGCCCACCAAGUCGACGAUCAGUAACUGGUGUGAGAGCACGACCAGUCACACGGGCACUGAGACACGGGCCCGACUCCUACGGGAGGCAGCAGUAAGGAAUAUUGGUCAAUGGACGCAAGUCUGAACCAGCCAUGCCGCGUGGAGGAUGAAGGUCCUCUGGAUUGUAAACUUCUUUUAUCUGGGAAGAAAUCCAUUUUUUCUAGAAUGGUUGACGGUACCAGAUGAAUAAGCACCGGCUAACUCCGUGCCAGCAGCCGCGGUAAUACGGAGGGUGCAAGCGUUAUCCGGAUUCACUGGGUUUAAAGGGUGCGUAGGUGGGCAAGUAAGUCAGUGGUGAAAUCUCCGGGCUUAACCCGGAAACUGCCAUUGAUACUAUUUGUCUUGAAUACUGUGGAGGUCAGCGGAAUAUGUCAUGUAGCGGUGAAAUGCUUAGAUAUGACAUAGAACACCAAUUGCGAAGGCAGCUGGCUACACAAAUAUUGACACUGAGGCACGAAAGCGUGGGGAUCAAACAGGAUUAGAUACCCUGGUAGUCCACGCCCUAAACUAUGGAUACUCGACAUUUGCGAUAAACUGCAAGUGUCUGAGCGAAAGCAUUAAGUAUCCCACC
This 825-nucleotide ribosomal RNA is filed under the name uncultured Sphingobacteriia bacterium. RNAcentral describes it as "bacterial SSU rRNA". It matches the Rfam family "Bacterial small subunit ribosomal RNA", at positions 58 to 873 of the family's 1533-position model. Lineage: Bacteria; Pseudomonadati; Bacteroidota; Sphingobacteriia. The record is from RNAcentral.